CAACCCUCAAGCACAGCUUGGUAUUGGGUGUUACCUGGCAAAAUAGGUGCACCUUAAAAUCAGUGGUGGUGACAUCUGGCUUCAAGCGUAGUAAAUCUCUUGCUUUGGAGGUUUGGAUGUGCACUUGCCAUCAACCCCUAAUUUUAUCAAAAA
Molecule: unclassified non-coding RNA, 153 nt
Filed under: uncultured Helotiales
Lineage: Eukaryota; Fungi; Ascomycota; Leotiomycetes; Helotiales
Description: sequence contains ITS2
Source: RNAcentral